Molecule: long non-coding RNA, 20048 nt
Filed under: Physcomitrium patens
Lineage: Eukaryota; Viridiplantae; Streptophyta; Bryopsida; Funariales; Funariaceae
Description: long non-coding RNA (PPAT_LNC004331)
Source: RNAcentral
CAUUAUCAAAUAGAUGAUUCCAAGAUGUGGGAGAGGAUACAUUCAAGUUAUAUAGCAAAAUAUUCAACCUCUGAAUGAAGCGGAAUCACGCCUCUUAUUUACCAAUUUUAAUCAGGAAACACCCAUAAGGAUAUACAUGAAAGUUAUACAUUAUCGGAAAGAGCGACACAGACAACAAGAUAUCGCGGCACAAGUACAAACUGUUUCAUUCCUCUCAGCAUGAGGCAUUCUCGUCCCAGUAAAAUGUACACAAUGCCCAUUCUACAGCUUGAGCCAAAUUUGCUUGCCAACUCGAAAUGCAUUUACAUUCCUAAGCCUUUGGCAACAAUUUCGACAGAUUCCGGAGCAGAUCACACCUCCACACGCAACCAUGUUACAAGGAUUCUAUCCUGUUCUGUAGCUCCUGCCUACACUCUAGUGGAUCUUCAGGUUCGUCAGCACGUUGUUGUGCACGGGGUCCGCCAAGUGGUCCAGUAGGUUCUGGAACGGGCCCACGCCUGUGAAGAUGGCCUGGGUGAAGUACCCCAACACCGCCAUCAUCGCCAACCGCCCGUUCUUGACCUCCUUCACCUUCAGCUCCUGCAACUCCUUCUCGUUCUUCCCGAAUCCCAAGAAGUUGAAGAUGGGCCCUCCUGGGUACGCCGGGUUGCCCGAUCCUCCCAAAAACUUCUCCAGCCCCAAAAAGUACUGCUUGCCCAUCGAUCCGGGCUUGUAGUAGUCCUGCGCGCGUCGGUGCUCCGCGAAUCCCAUCAACGCCAUCUCCAGCACGAACAGCGUAUACGGGUCGGCCCAGUAGCUGUAGUUGCCCACGGGCGGGAUCACGCCGCUCUGGAACCACGGGAUGGCGGUCUCCUGCGGGAUCAGCCCGAUUCUCCCCAGCACCUCAGGUGCGAUGGCACCGGCCGCUCCCAGCAUGGCGAACCGCCCGUUGAUGAUCUCGGCGUAUGGGAGCCACUGGGGGUCGAUGAAGCCACCGGCACCCUCGGGGUCCAUCAGGCCCAACGGAUCAAACCCAUAGUCGCCGGGCAAGCUGCAUCGGAACCCACAGACGAGCACAUUAGGGUGCUACUGGACGGUAAUCAAGCACGCAUGUAAGUUGAACAAUCAGCUGGGAUGUGCAUGGGCUGGAAAAUCCCCUGUAGGGCACUGAGUGGCAGAUUUACUCACGUGCCAUCAAGGUAAGACAGGCUUUGCUUGGAGGCAAAGAUCAGGUUCCUCUGGCUCCCACCCUACAUGAGAUGAAAAAUCCCACUGUGAUUGAAUAGUUGAUAAUCUGCAAAGGGGACCUUGCUGAAUAAAGAGUUUCAUGAUAAUAGUUACAUUCAAGUUAAGCUGCGUAGACCUUACAGUGGGGCUAAGCUGGGCCUUGGUGACGACAGUCUUGGCAGAGGAUGAGGCCUUCAACGUGACAUUGAGAGUGCAUGCCAAGUUGGUACCAAAUACAGAGCUUCUCUUCCCCUCCUGCACAGACCAGGGUAAUAAUACAUCGUCAGCGGGCAAGGAACAUGUUUUGACUGACUAAACUUAACAUCACCAUCAUCAUACACGCUCCAGACAGAAGGACAUUUGUGCUGAUGAUCAGGUGUAACAAGGAGUAUCUGCUAGGGGAGACGUGGUGGAAACUGGCGUAAUAAAUCAGACAACAGCAUUUAUGGAACAUUGCACUUAGGUGUAUCAUUAAGGUUGGGAUUUCUAUUGACCGUGUGUAGCUUUCAUUGGAAAAUUCUAACGAUCUUAGAACAAGUCUACUCGAGUGUGAGUAAACCGUAAAAAAACUAGAAGUGGAAAAAGAUUUAAUGAAUCGAUUGUUAAUCACAGCUCCAUUGCUGUGGUAGUGUCUCCCACUCUCACAGUGUAAUUUAAAUUCGUAAAACGACCAUUAUCUUCCCGUGAUGUGUACAAAUUUCUUACCCCCUUUUACUAGUCACCACGCUUUGCAGCGCGAGUUGCGCUCUUUCCAUGGACGGCAACGUGGACAAUGCACUUAAAUGGAUUGCAGAAUCCAAAUUCCUGAACCAGAAUUCUAAGGGAGACAGAAAGGUCACAAUUUGCCUUGCAGCCAGUCCUCCAUCCCCGCACAGGGAUUCCGAAAGUUACCACACACUGUAAAUAUGUCUGCUAACCAAUAAUGGAUCAUCCAGUGCUGCCGCUGUAGGCCAGUGAGAAUGAACAGAGACAAGCAAAUGUGCGCAAAGCGAACCCUUACUGCGUUCCUAAGCAUGGAUACUCCCAGCAUGCAGACCCCAAACCAAGGAACACAUGACUGACGCACUCAGUUACUGAAUCAAGCAAGAGGGUGAGAGAACGGGUGGGGCUUACGAGGGAACUGGAGGAAACUUUGGCAGCGAACGAGGACACGGCACUUCCUGCCGCCAUUCUAGUCGCCAUUGCAAAACACGCGCGCAGACUCCCACAGGCCUCGCGUUCACAGGCUUGGAAAAUGAGUAGACUGCGCAGCUUCGGCUUUAGCGAGGAAACUAGCAUGGGGGGAUUUGAAGCUGCAGAGAUGAAGUGGGAGAGCAACAGCAGAUUGGGGGCGUGCCGGUCCCAGCCGGAGCGAGCCACGAGAGUGGCCACAGCCACACAUACGCUUUGGCAUCGGAUAUUGUAAGUUGCACGUCCAAUCCCCGGCCUCGGGCCAGAUCUCGCACCCGGCUGGGGAUCGCCCUAUGGGCACCCUUCCCGGGGAAUGGUGCCACGCUGGACGCGGGAAGCAUAGAUGGAUGAAUCUCAAUAUUAUCAUUCUCUCAUCCGUGUUAACUCACGGGUCGGGGAUGAGAACUCCAACGACAUAAAUUUUCUGAUAAUAAUUAUUUAAAAAGUUAUAAAAAAAAUCUCUUUAAUUAACUUCUAAAUAAUAAUUAAUUUUUAUUUUUUUUUAAGAAAAUUCAUAUUCUUUUACUUUUUUUUCAAAAUUAUGUAGAGUAAAUUAGAAGGUUUAAUAUAGUCCUAAAAUUCUAUAUUUAUGUCAUUUGUUCUUCUUUUUGAAAUGAAAUCCACAAUAGGAUAAAAGAUUUUAAGUUUGAAAUCUCUCUUUUUUUCUCUUUAUAUAUAUAUAUAUAUAUAUAUAUAUAUAUAUAUAUAUAUAUUUUAGUUUUUAUUUUUUCAUCAAACUUAUUUUGCAUACUAGACUUCAAAGAAAUAAUUAUUUAAAAUAAAAAAGCUAACAGUAAAAAUAUUCUAUUUUAUUUUAUUGGCAUAAUUCUUGAUGUUACAAAAAUUGGAAACUCUGUAUCUAAGCAAUUUAUUGAAUUCUUGUAUUAUUUGUUGUCCACAAAGUAUUAAAAAUAUAUUUACCAAAUAUUAAAACACAAAACGCAUUGUAACAGGUGUUAAUUGUUUAAAAUUAACAACUUUCUACAAUGGAAAAAAGCAAAUAAUCAUGUGUCCAAUCUUUCAAUAAUAGUUAUAUGCAAACAAUUAUUGAGUAAAUUAAAAAAUCACUUUAAUGCACAAGGUUAGACCAAUCAAAUAUAGAAAGUAUUUUUUGAUUUUUAUAAUAUUUGAAAAAGACAAUAAUUAGAAAUAUAAUCUAAAAUAAAAUCAUGAAAUAUCACAUGACAGUAAAGAUUGCAACUAAUUAGAUGUAAGGAUGAAUAAAUCAAUUUAACAAGCCAUGGUGUUGGAUAAGGCAAACUCUGAAUAAUAUGCAACUUCAUAACUAAGGGAAAUUCACAGGAGAAUUACGUCUUGAAUCAGCAACACGAUAAUCCAAAAGCAAUUAGCAAGCUCUCCAAUAGUACCCUCUAUUGCUGUGAUGUUUACAAAAAGCCUCCCCAAUGCCACGCACAAAAUCCAUGAAGUAGAAUGUAGGGUAUUGAAUGUAAAAAUGUUAGGGUAGGAAAAUGUGGACUGUGUGCAGGGGAGCUGAAAUGGAGGUAAAGAGUGACAACAAACGUGGACUAAAUAUAUGAAGUAAGCUAUGUGUUACUUGUGUGAUACAAUAUAAUACACUUGUGAAUUGUCUUUAAAAUGAUUUUACACGUGCAGGCGGGUAUAAGAGUCCAGCGAGAGAAAUACAUCGCUGACGUUGCAGUUCUGGAGUUGUCAUAUCAGGAGUUGUCCUCAAACUACCGUGCUUAUUUUCUGAGGUAAACAAAUUGAGGGCCAGCAUCAGGUUUACAACCAACCCACUUGGUUCCGACUCUCCCAUUCCUUAAAAAUUUGUUGACAUGCUAAAGAUCAAGCAAAAAAUGUGGUCACUUUGAGAUCCCCAGUGCGAGAAUCAAAAUGUCCUGUUACUUCCACAACGCUGUUUACUGGUAGCUCAUUCGAAGAGUCGGAUGGUGAAAGGGUCGAUUGUAGCUGGAGUCCUUUGACACCAACCUCGACAGGAGAGCGAAGAAGCUUCACUCCUUGCUUCCAAUAUGUCGGUCUUCCACCUGAAGUGGAUAUUCAGACCCCAGUCAAAAAUCACCAAAGACCUUAAGACCGUGAAUCUAAAACUAUGCUUCGCUUAAUACCGCAUGGGGCAGCUAGUAUGUAUUUAAUACAGCCAACAUCGUAUAAAGAGUAUGAUCACACUUCAACCUCAACUGUAUCGUGCUGUGUGUGCAACAAACACAGUAGAGAUUCUUAGGAAAACUUUUAAGGGUACGAUAUGCAGAUUCAGGAUCAUACCUGCUGGUCCAGUGGAUAGUACAUAACUGCCUUCUGGAUCUAGACUCCAAUCCAUCCACAAGACAAUCCCAUGGCACUGACCGGCUCUCUGUACUGCAGCCUGAAUAGCCAAAAUGUACAAACAUAACCAUGAUCAAUCUUAAAACUUCAUCACUAGGUGACGCUGAUUGACGAAAUGAAAUUUGGGGUCAAACAAAUUUCAAAUCAACACAUGUUCUUAAAUGUAAUGUCUUCCACUAAAUACUGAUUGAUAUUACCAACAUUACAAGGUCAAAUACAUUUUAGCUGGAACACUUAUCACACCCCCAAGAACAAGGAAGACAACAGUACCUCUAUGACGCCUUCCAUAGUUCGUAGUGGAUACGAGAAGUCGAAUUCAAUCACAGUGAAUACAUCUGUCAGCUCCUGUUAAUCAAAGUUGUGUUAUAAUCACGUGAAAAAGAACAUCGUACUCUUGACUGGUCAGAGUAGUUGCACAAGCUGCUCCUCUUGACUUGGCAGUGCAUUCUGAUUUGGUAAAAGCAAAACAUACAUGUUCUCUUAGGACAUCCCUAGUAGGACAAACUUGCAAAUGGGUACUACGGCCUUGUUAUUCUUAUUCCUCAAGAAUUAAAGGUAAAUUAAAGAAGAUGGAAUAUACACACCUCAUAUCGUCCGCAUUGCCACACAGCAAACGGAAGUAUGGGGACCUCGUGUAAUGAUGGUAGCUCUCCACAGGCCCCAAAAACACUAUUUACCAGCCUAUGGUCAAAUCCUUCCACAUCUUUGAUGAACCGGCGGCUUUUCCAUAAGUCCUACUUGACAAACCAAUACAGUGUAUAACAUGACCUGCUAAAAGGAGGCUACGAUUAUUAAGUUUUGAAAAAGUUAUGAAGGUACAAAUACUAGAGCCGAGUGACAAUAUGGUUGUUGCUUGAUAACGUACUGGCAUAUGCACAGCAACGCCACGCAACGAAGCUCGGCAUGGGACUAGCUUCACGUUGUCAGAUAAGAGUGGUGACAGCUGGGUUCGCUCGUACCUAAAAGAAUAUCCAAAAUGCAAUUCAUGAGGUCUUACAAGGAUGUGUCUACAGAACAAAAAUGAAGCAACCGAUCACGUGGAUGAUAUCUAAACUUGAUACAAAAAACUGGCAGAGAAGAUCAGAGGGGUAGAAGAAGAUGCAUCUGAAAGAGUACCAAAAACGUAGUAACCGCCACGGAAGCAUCCUGCUGCAUGAGGUGUAGUAAGGCUCCGCCAUCAGCAAAUCAAUCUGACACAACAGAUCCCAGACCAUUUUAACUAAACAUAUACUUUUGUAAAGUACACAAACGUUACAAUUUGGCCGAUUCGCAGUCAGUAACAGGACUGACAAAUUUGUGAAGUUACAAAAUAAGAUGAGGAUUCAUUCUGCCAGCAAUAAUUUCCAAUCAGAGACUUCUAAGAGUAUACCUUGCGGACCCCUAAAACUUCUAAUGAUAAGGGUGUUGCUAUCUUGUUCAUGACUUUGAUGUUAGCCACGUUCUGUCCCAAGGUCCUACUGAUGUCAUCCACAUAUUCUUGACCAACAGCACUCCCAGGAAACAUAGCAACCACUUGGACAUUUGCACGAACAGAGGCCGCCAUCAUGGUCACGAGCAAACUAUCGUCAACGACUACACACAAUGAGGUCUUUAGACAUCGGAGCUGCAACAAACACCAAACACCAGGCAUUAACGUUGGACUACAUGCGUUGAAUAUGCCUGUGUUAACUGAUCAAAAGCAGAUAAAUUACAUCUAACCAAUGACGUCAUUUAGCAAUUGAUUGACAUAUUUUUGAGCACCAUGUAUUAUUGUUCUGAACUCUAGGCAGUUUUCAAGAUGAUGAAAGAAGACAGAAAAAAUCUUACAGCAAUUUCGACAGCUGAUUUCACAGAUCUUCGCCACGGCUCAUGUCCGAGAAUUCCAAUUCUAUCAGGUGACAUAGACGCUUCAAAUAACACUGGGCAGUCAACGUUAUCUUUAGGGACUACAUCCUUGUGCAUAUAGCUCCCUACAGGGUCCGUCACAUUGUAACUAACACUAACAGCAUCAUGGCUGGCUGUAACCACAACUUCGUUCCCUGAGUACAACAUCAAGCCCUUCCCUGGAAGGAUCCACACCAUCUGCUUCCAGUGCUCACACCAUUCUGAUAUGCCCAUACAAGCAACAAGUUCAAGAAAAGUUAGAAAAAGUAAGCAGAGCAAUGAAGCAAUUAAAGACAGGCCCUACAUAUUAAUUAAUUAAUUGAAGGCUAUUCUGAGGGCCUCAAUUAGGGUGCUUCAAGCAUACAAUUUAUAAUAAUACGCUUCCAUAUUGCUGUCUACCUGUUUGAGGAAUAGUUUCAGCUUUCACAUUUGCUGAUGGAUUUUUUAUCCAAUUGGGCGCUGUUGAAUAAAAUAUCUCACCCUCAAUGUCAAGCUGAAGUACCCACCUGCAAGACUUCCAAACUAUUCAAAUGCAAUACAUAGAAGUGACACGAACGAGUUUUGAGAACUACAAAACACACAGAAACAAUAAUCACAAGUGGGCAUCAAAUGCUUUCACAGGACUUUACCAAGAUACAAGUGCGUGUGCCCUCCCAGAAUUUGUGAUGAGAACACUAUGUUGACGUUGCCCAGACUCAUCAGGAGCUUUGGAAAGCUCAAACGUGAAAACUUCAAAUGGUUCUGAAAGCUGCCAAAUUUAGACACACAAUAAGGUCUCUCCUCAAGUUAGGAUUACAUAACUAAGGGACACCUAGUUCAAGUCGAAAACACAAAGAAACCAAAACAUAAUAUAUCGACAAUCAUCAUUCAUUCCAACCAAGGCACUACACGACCAACUAAAAUCAGGUAACUAGGCUAGAGGCAAAGCUAGGGAGUGUACUCUCAUGAAACUUGUACACUCUUCCGUGAGCAACAGCGCGAGAAGCAAUUCUGUAAUAAACUAGUCACGAGGAUUUAGCAAACCUGCUUGCUGUAACUUCAGAACAAUAAAGACGAAGUUCCUACAUUAAUACCAAUCUAAGACACUAAAUAAGGAAUUCGGUCUACCAGCUGCAUUUCGCUCGCUAAGGGAUCCACAUGCAUGGCAGCAGCUCUACCCCGAAACUGGUUAUAAUCACGUGAAGCCAAAACCACGCCAUCAACCAAUUGAGACUCCACUCCUGGUAAGUCAUGGCACUUCCACAAAUGCUCACACUCCACAAGCUGCAACACAGAGAGCCACUAAAUGUCUCAGUAGGUAAAUAUCUAUGCUGUUUUUAGGAUAACGACAAUAUCCCAACUAAGACGGAAAACUUUUCAAGAUUUGUAAAUGGACCUGUGCGUAGACGGUAGCUGUAUGGGGCACACAGCGGGCAUUUUUCGUGAGCAGAUUUUGAUGAGCAUGACGCAGGGAGGGUAUCAAACCCUCACCGAGAAGCUCUGAAUCGAGAAUUUCACUGAUCUGCCAUUCAGAUACCAUUCAUUCAGAUUAGUACUUAUUUUUAAUCUACUCUUACUAGCAGCAUCUACAAGAAUGCUGCAUAACAGCUCGCUCAAAUCAUGUAGCUUCCACUAACCAGCAGACUCCUGGCUCUGCAACAAGAAAAUAGACAUCAAACACAAUUCAGGCAACUCAUGAAAGACCCUUCUCAAGUUCAAUAACUAACCAGAACGUCUGCACGACAAUGCAUGUCAAUGCCCACUUCCAUUUCAUCAGACCGUUUAUGAAUCAGACGCACACCUGCUCCGACUUUGUUAGCUCGCAAAACCUUUCGGGCAAGCUUGAACAUGGGCAGGAAGGACUCACAGGCUGUGAUUGAUCCCAUUUCUUCACUGAUUCUGCCUUCUUCACACAUGGAACGCCAUGCCAUCAUAGAAAGAAGUCCUGUCCCCGCCCUUCCACAAUUGACGUAUGUACAAAGAAUUAGUCAAGGUGAAAAGAAACAGGAUAAUUGGCACUACAGCGAAGUUCCUUGGCAUUGAGAAGCCAGGAGCGCAUCAAAAUACAAGAAUACCUUCAAUCUCAUUCUUUGCACGACAAGUUUGGAGUGGUUUGAAAGUAAUGCAUACCCAAUGUCGAGAACGUGAUGGGCGCCUUUCACAGCCUUCUGAAUUGCCAAACGAUAUGCACGGUUACGCGGGGCGUCAUUUAGCAUGUCCAGAAAGGUAGUCAUGGUGAGUGCCUCUGAAACCUCCUCAGCUGAACUUCCAAAUAAGUGGUUCUGUCCUUCGCCAUCUGCAUAAAACCAUACAACCGAGUGUGAGCAUUUACUCCAAAAAUGCACACGAGGACAACAAUGAAUACGUAAUCCAAGAAAAACUGAAAUUCGAGUCCUCGCAUAACCCAUAUGGGCAAAGAAGGUAUCGGAAGCGUGGGGAGUUUAGGGUUUUGAUUAACAUGUCAAAGCCCAAAAACUAAGUUCCCGGCAAGGAUUCACUUCCCAAUUAUUAGUUACGGUCUAGGUCUUGUGCAAAGCUGUCGCUGAAAAACUAUCAGCCAAAGAAAAAAGGAACAUCUCGCACCCACAAGAAUAUUUCUCAAACGCAAGCUUCUGGCCAAGUUGGAUUAAUAAGACUGUAGACACAUUCUAAACCCCCGAAAUGCAAAAUGAAAUCCGAAUGUAACCCCGGCAUGAGCAAAAUAAAAAGAUAAAAGAAAACAGAUAAUAGAAAUAUAAAUAUAAUACUACAUGAAGACGAGUUAAGAGAAUCCGCGGUACCCUCAGGAUCGUCCUGACGCACAACAAUCCAUUCCACCUGGCCAGUGAGCUUGUUGAGCGAUUGCUGCAUCAAGACUGCAGACGAUGGAGCCUGACUCUGAGACGUCCCCACAUUCUUGAGCUGCUCCAUUGCAAUUACAAUAUUCCACAACUCUUCACUCAGAUAUCCGCUCCAUUCCAAUACAUUACUGUGCAAAGCCGAAACAGUAUGUAGUGUGACCAUAACCCCCCCGCCCCUCCUUCGACACAGAGCCUCUGCAGGCACAGGUAUGAAAGCUCGUGGAUGAAUAAGAGAUGGUCUAUAUUUAUGUCAUUCCAACGAGGGAAUCCUAGACCAAGAGAACCGUAAAUUGAUUUCAGUGCACGGUACCAGGUGGCUUUCUGGUUGUUCAUCUGUAUGGGAUGCUGAGUGUAUUGUGCAGGCCUACUGUGGACUUGUCUCUGUAGUGUUUUGCUCCUGUAUACGGCAAUUUCGUCUCUCUUACACAUCUGAGACCGCCGGAGCUUUAGCUGAAGGCGUGCGCUGGUGGAGAUUGUCGGGCUUUGUUAGGUAAGUGGGUUUAUUCUUACCGUGAUUGAGAUUGUUGCGGGGGGGGGGGGGGGGGGGGGGGGGGGAUAGUCAGAUUUGGUUGCAGGGUGCUGGCAGGCGUAUUUGUGCUUGUGAAGGUUCGGCAUAGGUUGUGAGAAAGGAAACGGUUGUGGUUUUUAGUAUUUCACGCCACUUGAGGAGUUCAACGAUUGGGCGACGUUCAAUUCUUCAUUUCUUGCGGGUUUGCGCUCUUUGAACAGACGAAUAUUUUGUCGAGAUGGAAAAGAUUGUGUUGGACGGUACAGCUAUCUCUUUGAUUUCUCUGUUGGGCUGGCUUGAUCGGAGAACUCAAUUUCCUAUCAAGCCCCGUUGGAUGCGUUGCAAUAUGAAGUGUCCAUUAUGCCAGCACAUUUGUACAUUACUCUGCUGGGAUUCUCUCUAACACAGAGUGGUGACCUAGAGAGAAUAUUGUUUAGGAGGAGCUUGGUGCUGAUUUUGAAGGAGUUCAUUGACCUAACUUGAAGUAGCUAUUCCAGUGUACAAAGCAUUUUGGGAUGUAUGUCUGAGCGAAGGUCCAACUUAAUAUCAACAAUCUUCUAGAGCGAAAUUAGGAACUAUCUUCUAAAAACUCAACGAUAAAUAGAGGAGAUGAUGUACAUGCGCACAGUUGUGCAGUUGGACCGCUAACAAGUGUUACCUUGUUGUAUUUAUUAGGUGUCAAGGUUUGGCGAUUAUUCGAGAACAGGUUAAACAUGGGACUCAUUCAAAGUCAAGAACGGAGGGGACAGUUAACCAAGAUUGAGAGGAGGAUGGUCCAGGCCAUGGCAGAGCGGGCACAGAAGGUCAAUGUGACUCUUAAAACUUUUAACACUUUCAUCCUCAAAUUUCCGAAGAUUGACGCCUCAUUUGAAGCCGUCAGAGAAGUUUUCAAUAAAGCAGGUUUGGAAACUGCCACAUUACAAACACAUCUUUUCAAAUUUACUGCAAUUGCGGUGAUCAUUCACUGUCUACGAGAUUUACACUUGAUUAGCACGUCCUCAUUCAAGCCAAGUGAAUACCCUCACAGCCCUUUGACCAGAAAAAUGCACCUGAAUGUAAUAGCAUCAUAAUCCAGACUAUAACAUCCAAAGGGAUGCAUAUGCAUUUCGAGACUGACCCAUUAGGUUACAUGAGCUGUGACAGAAUCUCAUUCUAGCUACGCUUGAUACUCUUCUUAGACUAUAUUUCCCUCUGAAAAGACAUUGGUCGUUCAAAGCUGGCUUUUAUGCAACUCUGCAAUUUCAUGAGCCAGCAUGCUCUAAGUAGUUUCGUGCUGGGUGUCAGCCCGGUAUGGGUACCGAUUUGAACGUGAAGGAGAAUAGUUUAAUUCAUGUGCAUGUUUUAUGGCCUUGUCCCCAGAUAAGAAUGGGGAUGGUUCCUUGGACAUGGAGGAGUUGAAGCAGUGUCUACAGGAGUUGCAAGUGGAGUAUUCAGAUCAAGAAAUUGAGGAAUUUCAUCACGAGAGUGACAUGGAUGCUAGUCACGGAAUCCAGUUCAAGGAGUUUAUUGUUGUACUAGCGCUUAUCUACCUUCUAGGCAGACCUACUCACACAGGAGUUGUAUCCUUUUUAGUCAUAAUUCUUCUAUUUUAUUUACGCUUGUUUUCUUUUCUUUUUUUUCUUAAUACAGCCGAAAUUUACAUGUUCACGUCCUAGUUGAAAUUUGUCGACGUUGCCAGUUUGUCUCGUGUGGAUCUGGUGUAGUGAUACGAUUUAAGGAGUUGGACUUGACCGUAUAUAAUCCCGAUGAAGGAAUCAGCGAUUGGACUUCCAGACCUCGAAGCCACCUUCGAUGAAAUUGCUGAAGCUUUUGUGUUUUUCGACCGCAAUAAAGACGGCUAUGUCAGCAAGAAGGAAAUGAUCUGGGCUAUUAACGAAGCAUCGCCAUCUGGUCGGCACGGACACAGAAUUGGUGUUCAAAGAUUUGGUCCGUUUCUCGUACUUUCAUCAUCCAUUGAAUUGCGUACACCACUCUAUUCAAACUCGUGUGUUCUCUUGCAAGUGUGAUACUGACGAAAUGUACGUGAGUCGCAAUCUGUUCAGAGGAAAUGGACUGGGACAAAGACGGUAUGAUCACAUUCAAGGAGUUUUUGUUCGCUUUCACCGACUGGGUAGGACUUGAGAACGACGAAGAAGAAACAGGGCACAACAACGUGUCUUUGCCGUUUUGACAACAUUAUCUCAGAGAUUCUGCAGUCAGCAUUUACAGCUUAUUGAUGUCAAACUACGGUUAAUGAGUCCAUCAGCGAUGUAACCAACUUCGCUGGAGUAUCACAGUCUCUGUGCAGUCUAUACUGUAUCUAUAUUCCAUAUCCGGUAUAUAAGAAGUUCAGAAUUCAGAAUCUUGAAUCUAGGCUCUAGUUUUUUUAUUGGUUGUCUUUGAGUAAAUCAGUUUUUCAGAGCUUUUGUAGCCGAGCAUGAUCUAUUCUCUUGAGCUGAUCAAGCCAGAGUUGUAGCUGGUGUGCAUCAAUUCUAGGACAUGUAUUCUAUGGGAUACAGAUUUCAGUGCCUGGCAUUUGUGCAGGUUGGAGUCUUUAGUGUCCUUUCUGAUAGCCAGGUUAGGUUAUAUGCUUUUUUGCUUUAUGCCCAAAGCUACUGCUUGUCUUAAUAAUCGGCUUGAAUCGUUGAACAAAGGUUUGAAGGUUUCAGUUAUUUACACUUUUAUUUUCUGGGUAGCGGGUCCAGUAUUCACCUUGAGUGAUGAGCCGUGAAAACCCAAGUUAUCAGUCAAAAUACUGUGCACUUGACUUACCAAGAGUGGAUUGAUUACAAACAUUCUGCCAUAGAUAUAUUUUCUAGGAGCAGGCAAAUUGUGUGUGUGAGUGAGUGUGAGUGAGAGAAUGAAUGAAUGAGGGAGUGAGGGAGUGACACUGCGAAGUAAUAGUCCUCACUUCACCUCCAUGCGAGCAAACCAUUGUCAUGUUGCAGCCUCAGUCUCACCAAGUUACCACUACUCAAAAAGUAUCAAAAAUCUGGGACGGGUACUUUUCGAAGCAGCAAACGUUAACAUGUUAACAUUUCAGGCAAAGACUGGGCUUCUAUGAGGCAACAUCUAACUUUUGAAAAUGCAUGUUCCAUUUAAUAAAUGAGCCUCGUUCUGCAAGCCUGAUUCUUCUUUAAAAAAAUGUUCCUAUUCUCCUCAUCUAGUUGAGAGCCAUUUCUUUCUCUCUGCAUGCCUGCCUGGUAUCGAUUUAGAGAUACUGACCGACCAGCUGCCUCAGUUCUCCGCUGAAGAGGGGUGAGUGCAGUAACUAGCAUCUUCGCAUUGGGCCGUUCAUGCGGUUCAAACUGCAAACACCGUGAUGCCAGACAAACGACCUCUAAACCAUCGUCGUUGGAGUACUCUCCUUCUAAGUAGGAGUCCAUCAGCAUGAGCCUGUGUUAUUGUGCAAAUUAUAUCCAACGCCUGCAAUCCAUUAUUGAAGAGUCAGCAUCGUUCAGCUAGAGUCUUAAUUCGAUAGGAUCCCUCAGUUUUCGAAAUCACCGGCUAGGUUGAGCCUUUGGAUUAAAGGUUUGUAUGAGUUGAUUAGUUUCAUUUCUGGAUUCGAAGACGAUACACAAAGGGAUUUGUAGUAGUAUCAAAGUAAAGAUCAACCAUUGUAAAAGAACCAUACCAGUGCUGGAUCCACGCUUUUGUGUAUGUUUGAAUAAUAUGAGUUUUUGCACGGUAUGUAGCUGGGUAUGUUCUAGGAUCAAAACUCCCAUCACACCUCUUUCUGCAGCUUUUGGAGUGAGUAAUUCUUGCAGACCAGGUCAAACUUACUCGUGUCCUCAAGUUUGAAGUUACUUUGGAGGGUGACUUCUUUCACUUGUCAUUCUUCCUCCUCUCGAUCAUGUCUCUUCUCUACGUUCGUUCUGGUGAUUAUUUCCAGUGGAAGCCUAGUACCUGUGCACGUUUAAAUGCUCAAAGUCGAUAGAAUCUGGCGGGUUGUUUGAUUGUCUUGAGAGAGACUCCUUGGUACUGCUGCACUCGUCCAUGCUGUGCAAACGGGAGUUAUUGGAACUUUUGUGAACUAUUCAGAGUUCCGACAUGGUGAGGUCUUCUGUGCCUUGGACAUCGCGACGAUGCACAUCGUUCAGAGACUUAAUUAACUCUAGCCUUUUUAGACCAGCUUGUAUGAAUGCAUAAUAGAACAAGAACUGAGCCAACUACUUAUCUAGUAGCUACAAAAUCAGUCAGAUUAUGUUAGAAACAUAUCUCUGGAAAUACUCGGUUGGGUUUUUCUAGUUCGAAAUCAGAAGUGGCAAUGAAAGUGAAAACCGGUAGUUAUGGCCAAGUGGUGUCCUCACUGCUAUUCAGCAGAGGGAGCUGCCAAUUAAUAUUAACGAGACAAUGUCUACAAAAUAUAUCAACAUUUCAUUAAAAAAAUAUAUUUUUGCACAUUUUUAGUGCAAAAAAUAUAGAAGAACUUCAGGACGUUUUUAGUUUUCUUUUUCAAAAAUAUUUUAAUUUAAUUUUCUUUUAUUCCUUUUUUCAAAUUGAAUACUUAAAACAUGAUAUAUUCUAUAAAACAUUAAACAUUAAUUUUUUUCAAAAAACACUUAGUGAAUUAAUGGCUUUCUUACAAAACAUGUAGCAAGAUUUUAUGCCUCAAAUGUUAUGCUUACAAAUUUAUACUACGAGGAAAAAAAAAAAAAAAAAAAAAAAAACAUUCAAUUGCAUUUAUCUGAAGGAUAUAUUAACUAAUGAUAUUAAUCAUAAAGCAUAAAUAUAACCUGCAUAGGUGUAUAUUGCAAUUGGUUAUUUUAAAGACGUUAAUUUUUUUGGUAAAUUUGUAAAUCUGGUAAUUGGGUACAUAGUACUAUAAUUUUAUAAACGUCAACCGUCAGUUUCAUUACAAUCAGAUUAAUAUUUAAGUUUUUAUAAAUUAGACUUAUAAAAUAUUAUGACUAUAUCAAUUUUUCUCAGAAACAUAUUUCACGUCAAUUUUUGAACAAAUAACCUCUGUUAAUACUUUUAAAAUGCUCUUUUGUUCAGUCGCAAAAAAGAUUUGGAUGUACUUGUUUUUAAGAAAGAUGCUAAAUUUGAAGGAAACUUUUUCUUUAAAUGUAAUGAUAAUAUUUUACGAAAUCAAUUAUAGUUUUAAUUAUCAUUGGGUUUUUUUAAAAAAGAGAAAAAAUAUAACAUGUGAUCUGAUGCAAUGUUAUUACAAGGGUGGAUACUUUGUUUUUCUAACUUGUAAAUUCUAUUAAAAAAUAUUACAGAAUUAUUGCAAAUUACCUUUUUCUUAAAUUGGUUCAACUAGUUAUCUUUUUAAUGCUAUUUAUUAUUUUUUCUGUUAAAAAAUACAAUAUGUGUGUGUGUGUAUAUAUAUAUAUAUAUAUAUAUAUGUUUGUAUGUAAACAAAUUUUUAUAUUGAUAUGUUUAGAAUUAGCCCCAAUAAAAUUUAAAAAUACAACAUUAAGUUCAGUAAUUAUUUCUUUGCCAACUAUUAUACUUAAAAAAUAUCUUAAAUCUCUUACAAAGUUAGUUUAUACUUGCUGGUUUUUCAAUAUUACCAAAAAAUAGAUAAUUGAAUUUUUUUAACAAUUUGGAAGUGCAAUCCUAUAGUGCAUUUUUUUUUUUUUUUUUUUUUUUUUUUUUCCCUCUUAUAUUCUCUUUUUUUCAUGUGAAAGUAUAAAUUACUAAUCCACUUAUGUAAAAAAUGAGAACACAAGAACUUGCUUUAUUUUUUAAAAAACCAAUGUAUGCUAUUGUUAAUCUUUAUUAUUUUAGCUACUAAAAUUAUUAACUUUUCGAUUUUUAAAAAAAAUAUACAAUCCUCUUAUUGAAAGGUCGUUAUUUCUUUUUCUUUUUUUUUUUUUUUUUUAAAUCUAAAAACAUCUCUUAAUAGUUUGAUUUUUCUUAAUAGUUUGUAUUUUAAUUUAUGAUAUCAAUUUUUUAAAUGGAUUGUUAAAAUCCUUCAAAAUUCUCUUAUUGGAUUCUUAAAAAAACUUAAAUAUUUAAUUUCUAAUAAUCACAUGAAUUUUAAGCUAAAAUUUAUAAAAAUAAAUAAGUAAUAGACUUUAAUUAGUAAUAUAAAUAAUACAUUUUUAUAUAGGAUCUUAAAGUAUUUCUAAAUAGGUAAGCUCAAAUAUUUUUUUAUAUCCAAUUAAAUCAUGUAUAUUUUUGAACUUUUUUAAAAAAAUUUCUCAUGUAUUAUUAAAUCAAACAAUGUUUUAUUUUUAGAUCGUUUAUAUACAUUUUCUAAUCUACUAUUUUCAGUUUUUUUCUUCUUUUUUUUUUUUUUUUUUUUUUUUUUUUUGUCUCCCUCUUAAAACAUCAAUUCUAAUAGUUUACUUAUACCCAAUGCUUGAUUUUUUUUUAUAGCAAAUUCAAUGCACUUAGAACAAGAUAGAUUUGUACUUGAAAGUGCUGGCAUAUUGUGUCUUCUUCAAACCUUUAUAUUCAGUUUUACUUAAGACUCAAAGUACCUUAAAGUAAUACUUUUUAUACAUAAAUAUAGUUUUUUUUAUAUGUGUAGAUAAUUCUUCUACAUUUGUAAGUGAUACACCACAUCAAAUUAUGUUUUGGUAUAUAUAUAACUUCUCAAUUUCAUAAUUUUUUUAAUUUUAAUUUUAAUUUUAUUAUUAUCACCAUAAUUAUAUCAAUAAGAUAAAUUCCUUGCAUCUUCAUGCACUAUGCAUUUUUUAUAUACUUAAAUAAUAUUUUGUUGACAAUUAACUAAUCAAUUCUUUUGAUAUUUUUAAUGAAUAGAUCAAUUUGAACCUAUCUAAUAUCUUCCUAAAUUAAAAAAAUAGAAAAGAAAUGAUCUAUAAUAAUAAUGAUAAUAAUAAACUCUUGUUCUAAUCAUCUAUGUUUCUUUUUCUUAUUAUCACCCUAUUGAAAAAUAAACACAUAGAUUAUUAGAUUGGAUUCAUUUUAAGACUUGGUUACUUCCACAUUCUUAGGUUGCUUGCAUCCUCAUUGCAUCUAAUUACAUGCUAUCACUGGCUAUCACAUGACUAAAAUUAUUUUUCAAAAGUUUUCUCAAUGAGUUUCUUAUCUUGAACAUGUUAAGUUAAAUGAUUUAGUUGUCCCUAAAUUUUGCCAAAGCUAUCAUCGUUUACAUGUGUUUGGAUAUAUAUAUAUAUAUAUAUACAAGAAUGUUAAAUAGACACGCUUUUACUAAAUAGACCCAUCUUUGAUGAAGAAUAUGGUAAUCAUGAUGAAUAUGGUUGGUUUUUAAUGAUUGCAAUCUAAUAAUGGAGAAAUGAAUCCAAAAAUCAUUAUUUUUUUUCAUGAUGGUAAUGAUGGAUGGAUCAAUUUCAUAAAAACUUGGGGCUACUUAACAUUCCCCUCUCUCUCUCUCUCUCUCUCUAUAUAUAUAUAUAUAUAUAUAUUGACAAUCACAAAAUUCAAGAUAUUCACAACAUGACAAGUAUUUACACUUGGUACAACAGGAAAUAUUCCAAACAUCCACUUCUACAGUAUUGAUUUGAGUGAAUGCAACUAAAAUGUUUGGUACUUAUUAGACUAUCGGACUAUCAGCUUAGUAUUAAAAGACAUGCAACCGUUCAUUUCUCCUGGUUUAAUGCUUGAUAAUCUUAACACAUUUUAGGACUCUCCUUGUGCAUUACAACCACAGCGACCGCCUUUGUGCGGCGCUACCUGCUUCUAAUCUGAAGAGGUUGCAAUUGCCGCGGGGUGCCGCAGAGUGACGCGGUGUACCGCUAUCGAGUGAACUAACUUGGAUCAGUGCGAUUAUCUCACAGCUCUUCGAGACUCUUGUAGAGGGUUCCUCUAGCUUUGCUUACUGAUCGGCAACUUGUGCGACCCAUAAAACUGAUAUUGAUUGUGACAGAAUGUCGCUUCAACACUCUCAGAUGCAAAUACUGAAAGAAAACACUCUCACGGCACUGCAGCUGCAGUAGGAGCUUGAGAAGCUGUGACGUUAUACGAGAAGUCUUUGCGAGGUUGGGAGACAUGAAAUGGCUCAUGACAAGGGAAUGGAAGUGGUAAUGGAGGUGAAAUUAGAAUUUUAAAACAAUUUUUAGGAGGAACAAAGGGAAAAAAAAAAGAAAAAAAUUGAUAGCUCAUGUUCAGACCGGGGAGCUGGUCCCUCACAGCCUGCUGCUACUUCUAAGCCUUGAGAGCUGCAAGCUCGGCCUUGAGCCUGGAGUCGCCAUACAGCAUCUCCUCGAAGCGGAUGAUUUCGUCGCGGGAUCCGUAUGCGACCUGGGUCCUGUCGUCGGUGUUCACCACCUGCUUGUCGAGCACGGAUUGCUUGCCGUCGCUGGAGUAUCCUCCGGCAUUCUCAAUCAGCAAUCCCAAUGGCGCGACCUCGAACAGAAGCCUCAGCUUCGCCUUGGUGGAUGGCGAGGUCACGUUUGUGAAGAUGCCUCUCUCCUUCACGAUGAGCUGGUUCACGUCCGGGACCAUGCCUCCAGUGUACCGGAGAGUGUACUUCUCGCUCACGUAGUAGUUGAUCAGCUUCUCGUAGUCGGCGUUGUCGAAUGUAGCCCUCAAGUUUCCGGGGGAGAAGAGCUUGCCUUCCUUGAUCUCAGUGGUCUCCUUCACGUGCUGCCACUUCCCGUCGUCCAUGAGGAGAAACUCGUGAGUGCCGGGGAAGCCGUUGAUUGCAAUGACGUAGGUGGUGCGUGGUCCGUAAAUACCCAUGGCGGAUGCAGCUUGGUCGCGGCCCGUGAUUCCAGUGAGCUUGUCCCCAGGCCAGACGCCGAAGAUGGUGCCCACGGUGAAGUUGGUGUCGACAAUGCUGGAGCCGUCCAAGGGGUCGAACGCAACGCUGAAGCCCUCUCCUUCCAUAUCCUGGAGGACGGGCUCCUCCUCCGAGCAUGCGUACUUGCAGACGUGGGAGUAGCGGAGCGCCUCAAAGAGAAGCUUGUCAGCGAGCAUGUCGACAGCAAGCUGCUCAUCUCCGAAGGUGUUAACGCAGGCGGUAGCGCCGCAGGAUGCCGUGCGUACCUUGAAGGCGAUGGUGCGGAGGGCCUCCCCCAUGCACACCAACAACCUAGCCAGCUUCUUGUCAGGAGUUGCCUUAGCAAGAAAUUCCUCUAAGCUAUCGCCGAGCUCGGCGCGGAUCAGAGCCUCCCUAUUGGUGGAUGAGGCCUUCUGGGCCACUGCAUUGCGUGCGUUGAUUACUUGCGCGCCAUACAGAGAGCUGGAUUUGCCUCCCUAAUCAAGAAAGAAACAUCGUCCUGUAUCAGCCUCCAAACAACGAUAAGGGUAACGAAAUGCCACACAAAACAGGACUUGAACUCAAGCACCUCUACAGAGAACCUCCUCUCUCCAAAGUAUUUAAUUGGUGGUUCCACGUCAAUGACAUAAUCAUAUCGCAAGAGUGUGCAAUUGCUUUCAUGCAUGACCAUCGAUUGUUACAGGGAUCACGGCGUUCAAACUUCAGGAAACAGCCGAUUUACAUGAAAGGCUCAAAAAAAUUCUUCAUUGCACAAAUGAUUGGUCCAGCCUCGGAUGCUAAAAAGACCAUGCAAAUUACACUGAUGGAUCGGAUGAAUUGGGAUCACAACAACAUCUCUGUAUUUAGUGAUGAAACAAUCGCUCCUUCUCAACAAGUCGUGAACCAUGCGUCUCGGGGGCAAUACAAAUUCAAUCUCAAGUUCCAGGAAGCGAGGAGCAAUUAUCAUUAGAAAUAAGACCAGCGCAAUGUAAGAAAAAAAUUGUAGUAUAAUAACACAGUCGAGCGAGGGACCCACGCAAUUCGUGGGCUAUGGCGAUUGCCCAAUCCAGACUACGACUUCUGUCCAAGAACCAAUGCUAAUGCAAACAAGUUUGUCACACAUCCGAGGAAGACAAUUACGCGCGGCAAUCCACCCACUCACUCCCCAGCUUAGACAUUCACAAACUCCUAAGCGGGCAUUACUACAAGAUCGACUCACAGCAGCAACACUACCAUGCAAUUAGAAUCACGUAAACGAGUCAGCAUCACCGAGGAAUUGGCGACUUACGAGAGAUGCACAGGCAACGGAGCGAAGGGGAGCGGCAGCCUGGGCGCCACGUCCAAGCACGGAGCUGGAGGACGACGCCUUCGCGAAGGUGGAGACGGUGCUCCCUGCAGCAACAGCGGCAGCCAUGAUCGUCGCCAUUGUUCAAGCUUUCUCCACACUCAACGCCGCGGUCUCAAAUCUCGAUUACAACUUCCGCGAGGUGGGCUGCAACAGUUGUGACAAUUGAGUUUGAUGCAGAGCUCAAUUGGGGCUGAAUGCGAAGGCGAUGAUGGC